GCCUGGAUAGCUCAGCUGGUUAGAGCGUGGUACUGAUAAUGCCAAGGUUGCAGGUUCGAACCCUGUAUGGGACA
Podarcis lilfordi (Lilford's wall lizard) is the source of this 74-nucleotide non-coding RNA. Lineage: Eukaryota; Metazoa; Chordata; Lepidosauria; Squamata; Lacertidae. The record is from the annotation of a GenBank genome assembly.